AGGGCAAUUAUUCGCCAUAAAUCGUUUUCUGCUGAAUUUCUGAAUGUAUAGAAGGAUUUCAUGUCUGCAGAUAAUGUAUUACAAGAGGCUGUUGUGUGCCAGUGGACAAGCUGGUGAGAAGCUGAACACUAAUAGCUUGAAUCCUGGUGAAUGGACUGCCUGCAUAAGCGUCGUCAUGAUUUUUCCACGUGUAAUAUGAAUGCAAGCCAGUUUGCCUUAAAGCAUCCCUUCUUGGAAAAUAUCUUCUAGUGUUUCAUCACAAAAAUCAGUCAAAAACUGUUUCUCAUGAUUUGAAAAAUACGUAUAAAGGAAGUCAAAUUUAAUUGAUAAAUUGUGCAUGCUGGGAUUGUAUACUAUAUCAUAUACAUUUUUAAUAUAUUUUCUGUAUCUCUAAUGUUGAGAAUUUUGAUGUUUUAAUUUAACCCUGAAUAAAAUGUUAAGUACUAUAAGCAAA
Molecule: long non-coding RNA, 454 nt
Organism: Stegodyphus dumicola
Lineage: Eukaryota; Metazoa; Arthropoda; Arachnida; Araneae; Eresidae
Source: RefSeq, a predicted model, not a curated record